AUCCCUUGACAUCCUGCGAACUUUCUAGAGAUAGAUUGGUGCCUUCGGGAACGCAGUGACAGGUGCUGCAUGGCUGUCGUCAGCUCGUGUCGUGAGAUGUUGGGUUAAGUCCCGCAACGAGCGCAACCCUUAUCAUUAGUUGCUAACAUUUAGUUGAGAACUCUAAUGAGACUGCCGGUGAUAAACCGGAGGAAGGUGGGGAUGACGUCAAGUCCUCAUGGCCCUUAUGUCCAGGGCUACACACGUGCUACAAUGGCCGAUACAAAGGGUUGCCAACUCGCGAGAGUGAGCCAAUCCCACAAAGUCGGUCUCAGUUCGGAUUGGAGUCUGCAACUCGACUCCAUGAAGUUGGAAUCGCUAGUAAUCGUGGAUCAGCAUGCCACGGUGAAUACGUUCCCGGGCCU
Molecule: ribosomal RNA, 404 nt
Filed under: uncultured bacterium
Lineage: Bacteria
Description: bacterial SSU rRNA
Rfam family: Bacterial small subunit ribosomal RNA
Source: RNAcentral